CCUACGGGAGGCAGCAGUGGGGAAUAUUGCACAAUGGGCGCAAGCCUGAUGCAGCAACGCCGCGUGAGGGAUGAAGGCCUUCGGGUUGUAAACCUCUUUUAGCAGGGAAGAAGCGAAAGUGACGGUACCUGCAGAAAAAGCACCGGCUAACUACGUGCCAGCAGCCGCGGUAAUACGUAGGGUGCAAGCGUUGUCCGGAAUUAUUGGGCGUAAAGAGCUCGUAGGCGGUUUGUCGCGUCUGCUGUGAAAACUGGAAGCUCAACUUCCAGCCUGCAGUGGGUACGGGCAGACUAGAGUGCGGUAGGGGAGAACGGAAUUCCUGGUGUAGCGGUGGAAUGCGCAGAUAUCAGGAGGAACACCGAUGGCGAAGGCAGUUCUCUGGGCCGUUACUGACGCUGAGGAGCGAAAGCGUGGGGAUGCGAACAGGAUUAGAUACCCUGGUAGUCCACGCCGUAAACGG
This 460-nucleotide ribosomal RNA is filed under the name uncultured Flavobacterium sp. RNAcentral's name for it is "bacterial SSU rRNA". It matches the Rfam family "Bacterial small subunit ribosomal RNA", at positions 338 to 809 of the family's 1533-position model. The record is from RNAcentral. Lineage: Bacteria; Pseudomonadati; Bacteroidota; Flavobacteriia; Flavobacteriales; Flavobacteriaceae.